GAGGAGGAGGCGCUUCUACUCCUUUGUGAGAAUCAGGUGCGGAAGAUACGCGUCUAAGGCUGGGACGACUAUCCAAUUGAUCGCUACUAUCAUUCAGAUCUAAUUCAUUCAAUUGAUUAACAUUAAUAUCAAAGGUUGAGUCAUCAGAAUCAUUAUCCCUCUGAUCAUUUCGGACACUAGUAGAAACGGUUGCCGCUCGAUUCCUAC
This is a non-coding RNA of Schizosaccharomyces pombe (fission yeast), 207 nucleotides long. NCBI's taxonomy places the organism in Eukaryota, Fungi, Ascomycota, Schizosaccharomycetes, Schizosaccharomycetales, Schizosaccharomycetaceae. The record is from the annotation of a GenBank genome assembly.